Molecule: long non-coding RNA, 680 nt
Organism: Ficedula albicollis (Collared flycatcher)
Lineage: Eukaryota; Metazoa; Chordata; Aves; Passeriformes; Muscicapidae
Exons: 3
Source: RefSeq, a predicted model, not a curated record
GGGGGGGGGGGGGGGGGGGCAGCCACAGUUCUGCUGCUCCUGGGGGCCGGCAUUGUCUGGAAGAUAAUUUCCAAGCAGAAGGAAGGCUAUUAUCAUACGUAUGAAAACUAUAAUUACAGAACCCCCCUGACCCCAGCAACUGAACACAAAGGCUCGUGUCUGCCAUAGGAGGCUGGGCACCCGUGCUGCUGCAGACCAGGCACCCGCAGCGAGGAAGGGCUGCUCGUGUGGAGACUGGAAUUCUGUGGCCAAAAAAAAGGACAUUUUACUGUAAAUCCUGAACGCUUUUCUGCUCUCAGUAGUUCCUGUAAGGAUCUCAGAUUGCACACAGUGUGGGCGUUGCCUUGGAGGGAAUUCUCCGUGCUGCUCCUGAUGAAGAAUAUUUCCUUUAUCCUCCCAAAAAACGGAUAACCAAGUGGAUAACCCCAAGCUUUGGCAGGGAGACACAAUGAAUAAUGCACUGGCCAUGACCCCCAUUCCCUGUCUCACUGCCCACCAAAACAUACCUGCACAAGAGUGGGAGUAACCACGUGUUAAUUAAUGUCUUAAUUACAGCUGCAUUUACAUCUUUAUUUCCUUCCAGCAACGCUAAUGUGCAGUGCUCCUCUACCAAUGCUUAACCUAAUAAAAGCUGAUGAUGACAAUUCCGUGUCUUCUUUUAGGUCUACCUAGACUCUUAA